This 716-nucleotide ribosomal RNA is filed under the name Dinophysis acuminata. Its description in RNAcentral is "LSU rRNA". It matches the Rfam family "Eukaryotic large subunit ribosomal RNA", at positions 32 to 662 of the family's 3401-position model. Lineage: Eukaryota; Dinophyceae; Dinophysales; Dinophysaceae. The record is from RNAcentral.
AUUUAAGCAUAUAAGUAAGCGGAGGACAAGAAACUAAACAGGAUCCCCAUAGUAAUGGCGAAUGAACCGGGAUAAACUCAGCAUGGAAAUUGGGGCCUUUGGCUUUGACUUGUAAUCUGGUGAGGCAUUGCCAACAGAGGCGCAUAUGUAAGUCUCUUGGAAAAGAGCAUCAACGAAGGUGAGAGUCCUGAUUGUCAUGUGCAGCCCCCCUGUGCACGGUGUGCCUUCUAAGAGUCACGUUCCUUGGGAUUGGAGCGCAAAUUGGGUGGUAACUUUCAUCUGAAGUUAAACAAUGGUUUGGGACCGAUAGGAAACAAGUACCAUGAGGGAAAGGUGAAAAGGACUUUGGAAAGAGAGUUAAAAGUGCCUGAAAUUGCUGAAGGGGAAGCGAAUGGAACCAGUGGUGCUGGGUGAGAUUGUCACAUGCUGCAAGGAUUGGUUGCUGCCACAACGCAAGUGUGCUGGCAAUUUGUGAACUGCUAGUGUGUGGUGUGUCUUACCUAGUGGGUCAUUGUGGGUUUAUGCAUUAAGAUAAAUCAAAGCAAGCGGGAGCAAGUUUACGAGUUUGUGAAUGUGUGUUGUUAUGCUUGUGCGUAAGCUUUAGUGUUUGUCUGGCUGCAGGGCUGUCCAUCCUCAAGCUUUGCUGUGGUUGCGAUGAGCAUAACCUUCUGCACAGAUCUUGACGAAAUGGUUUCAUUCGACCCGUCUUGAAACAC